GAUGAACGCUGGCGGCGUGCCUAAUACAUGCAAGUCGAGCGAACAGACGAUGAGCUUGCUCCUCUGACGUUAGCGGCGGACGGGUGAGUAACACGUGGAUAACCUACCUAUAAUACUGGGAUAACUUCGGGAAACCGGAGCUAAUACCGGAUAAUAUAUUGAACCGCAUGGUUCAAUAGUGAAAGACGGUUUUGCUGUCACUUAUAGAUGGAUCCGCGCCGCAUUAGCUAGUUGGUAAGGUAACGGCUUACCAAGGCAACGAUGCGUAGCCGACCUGAGAGGGUGAUCGGCCACACUGGAACUGAGACACGGUCCAGACUCCUACGGGAGGCAGCAGUAGGGAAUCUUCCGCAAUGGGCGCAAGCCUGACGGAGCAACGCCGCGUGAGUGAUGAAGGUCUUCGGAUCGUAAAACUCUGUUAUUAGGGAAGAACAAAUGUGUAAGUAAAUAUGCACGUCUUGACGGUACCUAAUCAGAAAGCCACGGCUAACUACGUG
This 497-nucleotide ribosomal RNA is filed under the name uncultured bacterium. RNAcentral describes it as "partial 16S ribosomal RNA". It matches the Rfam family "Bacterial small subunit ribosomal RNA", at positions 28 to 507 of the family's 1533-position model. The record is from RNAcentral.